CCCCUAGAUGUUCUGGGCCGCACGCGCGCUACACUGAACAGUUCAACAAGUCUUAACCUUGGCCGAUAGGUCUGGGUAAUCUUUGAACGCUGUUCGUGAUUGGGAUAGACCUUUGCAAUUAUGGGUCUUCAACGAGGAAUUCCUAGUAAACGCAAGUCAUCAGCUUGCAUUGAUUAUGUCCCUGCCCUUUGUACACACCGCCCGUCGCACCUACCGAUUGAAUGGUCCGGUGAAAUCUCGGGACGGCGGCUUGGUCGCUUGCGUCCGACUGCUGAAACUUGAUUAAACCAUAUCAUUUAGAGGAAGGUGAANUCGUANCA
This 320-nucleotide ribosomal RNA is filed under the name uncultured eukaryote. RNAcentral's name for it is "partial 18S ribosomal RNA". It matches the Rfam family "Eukaryotic small subunit ribosomal RNA", at positions 1470 to 1796 of the family's 1831-position model. The record is from RNAcentral.